Molecule: long non-coding RNA, 427 nt
Organism: Eriocheir sinensis (Chinese mitten crab)
Lineage: Eukaryota; Metazoa; Arthropoda; Malacostraca; Decapoda; Varunidae
Exons: 3
Source: RefSeq, a predicted model, not a curated record
AGGUCAUGGUGAGAGAGGUGGGUCAGCAUCUUCCUCCAGGGAAUGCGUGAUGCUCCUCCGACUUGCCUCCUCGAGCUGCUUCUUCAGCUUCACGGUGAUAGCGGUGACGGGCUUGGUGGAGAUGGAGCACUCGUAAAGCCCUGAGUCUGAAGGUUCUGGGUUCCUGAGCACGAGAACCCAGUCGCCGGUGCUCUGUUCCCUGUGCGCUGAGAACCUGGCGUCGUUCGUGAAGGUGAAGGAGCCGACUGUUAGCACGUGAAGGUCCCUGUGUCUGAUCCAUGAUACCUGUGCGAAGAGGGAAACAGAUGGAGAGGUGUGAGAUGAGACGACCAGAAGGAAAAUGGGACACGUGAAUGACCUUUGACCCAGCAUGGCGGAGGUCAGGUAGCGGGCGGUCAGGUGGAAGCUUCGAGGGCAGGUGUUACAG